GCCGCUUUAGCUCAGUUGGUAGAGCACCCGCCUUGUAAGCGGUAGGUCGUCAGUUCGAAUCCGACAAGCGGCA
Non-coding RNA from Limnohabitans planktonicus II-D5, 73 nucleotides. The record is from Rfam. Lineage: Bacteria; Pseudomonadati; Pseudomonadota; Betaproteobacteria; Burkholderiales; Comamonadaceae.